This 1458-nucleotide ribosomal RNA is filed under the name Staphylococcus aureus. RNAcentral's name for it is "bacterial SSU rRNA". Lineage: Bacteria; Bacillati; Bacillota; Bacilli; Caryophanales; Staphylococcaceae. The record is from RNAcentral.
CAGCGGUUCGAUCCCGCUAGUCUCCACCAUUUAUUUUUACACGAUGAACAUUGAAAACUGAAUGACAAUAUGUCAACGUUAAUUCCAAAAAACGUAACUAUAAGUUACAAACAUUAUUUAGUAUUUAUGAGCUAAUCAAACAUCAUAAUUUUUAUGGAGAGUUUGAUCCUGGCUCAGGAUGAACGCUGGCGGCUUACCAAGGCAACGAUGCAUAGCCGACCUGAGAGGGUGAUCGGCCACACUGGAACUGAGACACGGUCCAGACUCCUACGGGAGGCAGCAGUAGGGAAUCUUCCGCAAUGGGCGAAAGCCUGACGGAGCAACGCCGCGUGAGUGAUGAAGGUCUUCGGAUCGUAAAACUCUGUUAUUAGGGAAGAACAUAUGUGUAAGUAACUGUGCACAUCUUGACGGUACCUAAUCAGAAAGCCACGGCUAACUACGUGCCAGCAGCCGCGGUAAUACGUAGGUGGCAAGCGUUAUCCGGAAUUAUUGGGCGUAAAGCGCGCGUAGGCGGUUUUUUAAGUCUGAUGUGAAAGCCCACGGCUCAACCGUGGAGGGUCAUUGGAAACUGGAAAACUUGAGUGCAGAAGAGGAAAGUGGAAUUCCAUGUGUAGCGGUGAAAUGCGCAGAGAUAUGGAGGAACACCAGUGGCGAAGGCGACUUUCUGGUCUGUAACUGACGCUGAUGUGCGAAAGCGUGGGGAUCAAACAGGAUUAGAUACCCUGGUAGUCCACGCCGUAAACGAUGAGUGCUAAGUGUUAGGGGGUUUCCGCCCCUUAGUGCUGCAGCUAACGCAUUAAGCACUCCGCCUGGGGAGUACGACCGCAAGGUUGAAACUCAAAGGAAUUGACGGGGACCCGCACAAGCGGUGGAGCAUGUGGUUUAAUUCGAAGCAACGCGAAGAACCUUACCAAAUCUUGACAUCCUUUGACAACUCUAGAGAUAGAGCCUUCCCCUUCGGGGGACAAAGUGACAGGUGGUGCAUGGUUGUCGUCAGCUCGUGUCGUGAGAUGUUGGGUUAAGUCCCGCAACGAGCGCAACCCUUAAGCUUAGUUGCCAUCAUUAAGUUGGGCACUCUAAGUUGACUGCCGGUGACAAACCGGAGGAAGGUGGGGAUGACGUCAAAUCAUCAUGCCCCUUAUGAUUUGGGCUACACACGUGCUACAAUGGACAAUACAAAGGGCAGCGAAACCGYGAGGUCAAGCAAAUCCCAUAAAGUUGUUCUCAGUUCGGAUUGUAGUCUGCAACUCGACUACAUGAAGCUGGAAUCGCUAGUAAUCGUAGAUCAGCAUGCUACGGUGAAUACGUUCCCGGGUCUUGUACACACCGCCCGUCACACCACGAGAGUUUGUAACACCCGAAGCCGGUGGAGUAACCUUUUAGGAGCUAGCCGUCGAAGGUGGGACAAAUGAUUGGGGUGAAGUCGUAACAAGGUAGCCGUAUCGGAAGGUGCGGCUG